UGAAUUGACGGGGGCCCGCACAAGCGGUGGAGCAUGUGGUUUUAAUUUCGAUGCAACGCGAAGAACCUUACCUACUCUUGACAUCUAGAGAAGCCAGCGGAGACGCAGGCGUGCCUUCGGGAACUCUAAGACAGGUGCUGCAUGGCUGUCGUCAGCUCGUGUCGUGAAAUGUUGGGUUAAGUCCCGCAACGAGCGCAACCCUUAUCCUUGUU
This 212-nucleotide ribosomal RNA is filed under the name uncultured bacterium. RNAcentral describes it as "partial 16S ribosomal RNA". It matches the Rfam family "Bacterial small subunit ribosomal RNA", at positions 907 to 1115 of the family's 1533-position model. The record is from RNAcentral.